This 301-nucleotide ribosomal RNA is filed under the name uncultured bacterium. RNAcentral's name for it is "partial 16S ribosomal RNA". It matches the Rfam family "Bacterial small subunit ribosomal RNA", at positions 509 to 808 of the family's 1533-position model. The record is from RNAcentral.
CAGUCGCCGCGGUAAUACGUAGGUCCCGAGCGUUGUCCGGAUUUAUUGGGCGUAAAGCGAGCGCAGGCGGUUAGAUAAGUCUGAAGUUAAAGGCUGUGGCUUAACCAUAGUACGCUUUGGAAACUGUUUAACUUGAGUGCAAGAGGGGAGAGUGGAAUUCCAUGUGUAGCGGUGAAAUGCGUAGAUAUAUGGAGGAACACCGGCGGCGAAAGCGGCUCUCGGGCUUGUAACUGACACUGAGGCUCGAAAGCGUGGGGAGCAAACAGGAUUAGAUACCCGUGUAGUCCCUGUCUCUUAUACA